UCGCCUGUUUACAAAAACAUAGCCUAUAACUUAACUUUAGGUACAACCCUGCCCUCUGAAAUUUUAACAGCCGCGGUAUCCUAACCGUGCUAAGGUAGCAUAAUCAUUUGCCUAUUAAUUAUAGGCUAGCAUGAACGGGAUCACUCACUUAAAUUUAUUUUCACUACAAUUAAAAUUAAACUUUAAGUUAAAAUACUAAAUUUUUAAGAAAGACAAAAAGACCCUGAAAACUAUUAGAAGAUAAUUAGUUGGGGCAACUAUAGACCAUAAACAGCGUCUAUUAAAAUUCGAAUUUUAAAAUUCAAAGCACACAGUUACUUCAGGGAUAACAGACUAAUUGUAUUAUUUAGACCUAAUAAAUAAUAAAGAUUGGCACCUCGAUGUUGGCUUAUAAUUCCUUCAUAUAGUAACAUAUAUUGAUGGCAGCUUGUUCAUCUGAUAAAUAUUUACAUGAGCUGAGUUCAGACCGGCGUAAGC
Molecule: ribosomal RNA, 477 nt
Filed under: Stygocapitella sp. 169_33
Lineage: Eukaryota; Metazoa; Annelida; Polychaeta; Parergodrilidae
Description: partial large subunit ribosomal RNA
Rfam family: Bacterial large subunit ribosomal RNA
Source: RNAcentral